This 1316-nucleotide ribosomal RNA is filed under the name uncultured bacterium. RNAcentral describes it as "bacterial SSU rRNA". It matches the Rfam family "Bacterial small subunit ribosomal RNA", at positions 74 to 1415 of the family's 1533-position model. The record is from RNAcentral.
AACCCUUCGGGGGGGACAGUGGCGAAAGGGCGAGGAAUACAAUCGAACGUACCCCGAGGUGGGGGAUAGGUCGUGGGAAACUGCGGCGUAAUACCCCAUGUGCUCUCCGGAGGAAAGCUUCGGCGCCUUGGGAGCGGCGAUUGUCCUAUCAGCUAGUUGGCGAGGUAACGGCCCACCAAGCCGAAGACGGGUAGCGGGUGUGAGAGCACGACCCGCCGCAUCGGGACUGAGACACUGCCCGGACUCCUACGGGAGGCAGCAGUAACGAAUAUUCCGCAAUGGGCGAAAGCCUGACGGAGCAAUGCCGCGUGUGGGAUGAAGCGGUUUCGCCGUGUAAACCACUGUCAGAAGAUAGAAAAGAUGAUCAUCUUCAGAGGAAGGGGCGACUAACUCUGUGCCAGCAGCCGCGGUAAUACGAGAGGCCCGAGCGUUAAUCGGAAUCACUGGGCUUAAAGCGUGCGCAGGCGGACCUGGCAAGCGUCUCGUGAAAUCCCACGGCUCAACCGGGGAACUGCGGGGCGAACUGCCGGUCUUGAGGAAGGUAGGGGCCGACGGAACCAUCGGUGGAGCGGUGAAAUGCGUAGAUAUCGAUGGGAACGCCAAUGGGGAAGCCAGUCGGCUGGGCCUUUCCUGACGCUCAGGCACGAAAGCGUGGGGAGCAAACAGGAUUAGAUACCCUGGUAGUCCACGCCGUAAACGAUGUGCACUAGACCGAAGCGGCUCUCACGCCUGUUUCGGUCGAAGGAAAACCGUUAAGUGCACCGCCUGGGGAGUACGGUCGCAAGGCUAAAACUCAAAGGAAUUGACGGGGGCUCACACAAGCGGUGGAGCAUGUUGCUUAAUUCGAGGCAACGCGAAGAACCUUACCUGGGUUUGACAUGCACGGAUUAACUCUGUGAAAGCAGAGCCACGCUCCCAAGAGUGGAACAUGCACAGGUGCUGCAUGGCUGUCGUCAGCUCGUGCUGUGAAGUGUCGGGUUAAGUCCCUUAACGAGCGCAACCCCUAUCGUUAGUUGCUAACGGGUCAAGCCGAGUACUCUAGCGAGACUGCCGGUGUCAAACCGGAGGAAGGUGGGGAUGACGUCAAGUCAGCAUGGCCCUUACAUCCAGGGAUGCAAACGUGCUACAAUGGCGUGGACAAAGCGACGCAAGGCCGCGAGGCGGAGCAAAUCGCAAAAAACACGCCCCAGUUCGGAUUGCAGGCUGCAACUCGCCUGCAUGAAGUCGGAAUCGCUAGUAAUCGGCGGAUCAGCUACGCUCCGGUGAAUACGUUCCUGAGCCUUGUACACACCGCCCGUCACGUCAUGGAAGCCGGG